AGAGUUUGAUCCUGGCUCAGAAUGAACGCUAGUGGUUAGCAUAACACAUGCAAGUUAAAAGAACUUAUUUUCAUAUAAGUUAUUAGCAAACGGGUGAGUAAUGUACGGAAAUAAGCCUCAAGAAAUUGUUAGAUACAACCAAAAUUGAUUUGUGUUGAGAAAAGUCUGUAUAAGAUUAAGUUGUUGGUGGUUUAAUAGUUUACCAAGCUUACGAUCUUUAGUUGGUCUAUGAGGAUGAACAACCACAUUGGAACUGAGACACGGUCCAAACUUCACCAGAAGGCAGCAGUGAGGAAUCUUGGGCAAUGAGUGAAAGCUUGACCCAGCUAAACCACAAGUGUGAUGAAGGUAAAAAACUGUAAAGCACUUUAUUUUAAGAUAAACAAUGAUUUCUUAACAAAAAAGUCCUGGCUAAUUUCGUGCCAGCAGCCGCGGUAAAACGAGAAGGGCAAGCGUUAUUCGAAUUAAUUGGGCGUAAAGCAUACGUAGGUGGAAAAUUAAAUUCUAAUUUAAAGUUUAAAGUUCAUUUUUAAACAGAUUAUUAAACUAAUUUUCUAGAGUUCAAAAGAAGAUUACGGAACUUUAAGAGUAACGGUAAAAUGUUUUGAUUCUUAAAAGAACUUCGACAGCAAAAGCAGUAAUCCAGAUUAAAACUGACAUUGAGGUAUUAAAGUGUGGGUAGCAAAAGGGAUUAGAUACCCCUGUAGUCCACACCCUGAACGAUAAGUGUUUAUUUUCGGAAAGUUCGAAAGUGUAGCUAACGCGUUUAACACUUCGCCUGGGAACUACGACUGCAAAGUUAAAACUCAAAGGAAUUGACGGGAACUUACACAAGCAGUGGAGCAUGUGGUUUAAAUCGACAAUACGCGCGAAACCUUACCAACUUUUGUAUAACUUCAUUAGUUACAGGUGUUGCAUGGCUGUCGUCAGUCCGUGCUGUGAAGCGUUUGGUUAAUUCCAACAAACGGACAAAACUCUUGUAAAUUUUUGAAUUUAGAUCGCCGAAGAUAUCUCGGAGGAAGGAAAGAAUGACGCCAAGUCCUCAUGACCCUAAUAAGUUGGGCUACUUUCAUGUGCUACAAUAAUUCUAUCAAAAAGAAGCGUAAAUGUUAGUUUUAGCCAAUCUUUCAAAUAGAAUUCAAUAUUCAGAUUAUUUUCUGAAACUCGAAAAUAUGAAGUUGGAAUUGCUAGUAAUCGUAAAUCAGAAUGUUACGGUGAAUCUGUUCUUAGGUUUUGUACACACCGCCCGUCACGCUAUGGAAAUUCUCUUUAUUUGAAGAUCAAGACUUUGAUUUAUAGUAAAAGAAAAACUGAAGUGAAGUCGUAACAAGGUAGCCGUAGGGGAACCUGCGGCUGGAAAAUAA
RNAcentral lists this ribosomal RNA (1364 nucleotides) under Mastocarpus papillatus. RNAcentral's name for it is "SSU rRNA". It matches the Rfam family "Bacterial small subunit ribosomal RNA". Lineage: Eukaryota; Rhodophyta; Florideophyceae; Gigartinales; Phyllophoraceae. The record is from RNAcentral.